AGCUGAGCGCGGACCGCCCGCCCCCUCCAGCGGGCCCUGACGGGGAGGAGCCAGGCAGGAGGGGGUGGGGGGGCGCUCCCUCAGUUUCUUACAGAUCUUUGGCAUAUACUGAACAUGAGUUUUAGAAGUACUUGGUGUAAUAAUGCUACAGACAUUAAAGCUUUGUUCACUAAGAGCCAUAGUCCAGCCAGACUACUGCAAAAGUACAAGGUUGUCCAAUGAGGCAUGCAUGGAUAUCUAAAGUCUAAAGCAGGAUCCUCUAAGGUAGUUUUGGUGUGUUGGCCAGCAUCCCUUUUUGCUGUUGUGCAAUCGCACCACCUGGUGGCUACAGUUAUUGCAACCGUUCUGCUCCUGUGACAGACCUGCAGCUGAGUAGCUUGGAACUAAAGACCAGGAAAAAAAAUUCCAUCUGUUGUCUUAAGAGAAGUUUACAGCCUAAUUAUGAGUCAGCCCAGAAUACUUAAGGUAUUUUAAAUCCUCAAAUAUAGAGGCUUCAGUGAUGAAACGGGUUCUGUCUUUGGCACUCAUGCGAAGUCUGCUCAUCUUUACUGGGGCUUAAAGCACUC
Long non-coding RNA from Tyto alba (common barn owl), 566 nucleotides. RefSeq lists it as uncharacterized. The record is from RefSeq and is a predicted model, not a curated record. NCBI's taxonomy places the organism in Eukaryota, Metazoa, Chordata, Aves, Strigiformes, Tytonidae. The transcript has 4 exons.